This 685-nucleotide ribosomal RNA is filed under the name uncultured bacterium. RNAcentral describes it as "bacterial SSU rRNA". It matches the Rfam family "Bacterial small subunit ribosomal RNA", at positions 141 to 844 of the family's 1533-position model. The record is from RNAcentral.
GGAUAACAGAUAGAAAUGUCUGCUAAUACCGCAUAAGACCACAGCACCGCAUGGUGCAGGGGUAAAAACUCCGGUGGUAUGGGAUGGACCCGCGUCUGAUUAGCUGGUGGGUGAGGUAAAGGCUCACCAAGGCGACGAUCAGUAGCCGACCUGAGAGGGUGACCGGCCACAUUGGGACUGAGACACGGCCCAAACUCCUACGGGAGGCAGCAGUGGGGAAUAUUGCACAAUGGGGGAAACUCUGAUGCAGCGACGCCGCGUGAAGGAUGAAGUAUUUCGGUAUGUAAACUUCUAUCAGCAGGGAAGAAAAUGACGGUACCUGACUAAGAAGCCCCGGCUAACUACGUGCCAGCAGCCGCGGUAAUACGUAGGGGGCAAGCGUUAUCCGGAUUUACUGGGUGUAAAGGGAGCGUAGACGGUAUGGCAAGUCUGAUGUGAAAACCCGGGGCUCAACCCCGGGACUGCAUUGGAAACUGUCGGACCAGAGUGUCGGAGAGGCAAGUGGAAUUCCUAGUGUAGCGGUGAAAUGCGUAGAUAUUAGGAGGAACACCAGUGGCGAAGGCGGCUUGCUGGACGAUGACUGACGUUGAGGCUCGAAAGCGUGGGGAGCAAACAGGAUUAGAUACCCUGGUAGUCCACGCCGUAAACGAUGACUACUAGGUGUCGGGUGGCAAAGCCAUUCGGU